Molecule: small RNA, 351 nt
Filed under: Beduini massiliensis
Lineage: Bacteria; Bacillati; Bacillota; Erysipelotrichia; Erysipelotrichales; Erysipelotrichaceae
Description: transfer-messenger RNA
Rfam family: transfer-messenger RNA
About the family: Bacterial tmRNA, also known as 10Sa RNA or SsrA, is named for its dual tRNA and mRNA-like properties.
Source: RNAcentral
GGGGUCGUCUUGGAUUCGACAGGGACAAGUCUGACUUUAGCUGCAGUCGGCGGCACACGUUACGUGCACAAACAAAUAACUGGAAACAGAACAAAUUAUUCAUUUGCCUAAUUAAGUCGACAUAGACUUUGGCAUGCUACUGCUGGAUUUACUCAUAAUUUAGCAGCUAGUAUCAUAACUUAUGAGUUAAGAAAAAGGAUUGCCUAGCUCCUUUUUACGAAAAUCAAUAGGAUCGCUGAGUGAAAGAUUGCUUAUUGAUCGUAGCUUAGUUAAACUCAUUCAAUAAGAUAAACUGUAGACGCUUUAGAGGGACUGUUUUUGGACGCGGGUUCGAUUCCCGCCGGCUCCACC